This 430-nucleotide ribosomal RNA is filed under the name uncultured bacterium. RNAcentral describes it as "partial 16S ribosomal RNA". It matches the Rfam family "Bacterial small subunit ribosomal RNA", at positions 354 to 796 of the family's 1533-position model. The record is from RNAcentral.
GUGGGGAAUAUUGCACAAUGGGCGCAAGCCUGAUGCAGCAACGCCGCGUGAGGGAUGACGGCCUUCGGGUUGUAAACCUCUUUUAGUAGGGAAGAAGCGUAAGUGACGGUACCUGCAGAAAAAGCACCGGCUAACUACGUGCCAGCAGCCGCGGUAAUACGUAGGGUGCAAGCGUUGUCCGGAAUUAUUGGGCGUAAAGAGCUCGUAGGCGGCUUGUCGCGUCUGCCGUGAAAACCCAGGGCUCAACUCUGGGCGUGCGGUGGGUACGGGCAGGCUAGAGUGCGGUAGGGGAGAUUGGAAUUCCUGGUGUAGCGGUGGAAUGCGCAGAUAUCAGGAGGAACACCGAUGGCGAAGGCAGAUCUCUGGGCCGUAACUGACGCUGAGGAGCGAAAGCAUGGGGAGCGAACAGGAUUAGAAACCCGUGUAGUCC